Molecule: ribosomal RNA, 433 nt
Filed under: uncultured bacterium
Lineage: Bacteria
Description: partial 16S ribosomal RNA
Rfam family: Bacterial small subunit ribosomal RNA
Source: RNAcentral
AACGAACGCUGGCGGCAUGCCUAACACAUGCAAGUCGAACGAGACCUUCGGGUCUAGUGGCGCACGAGUGCGUAACGCGUGGGAACCUUCCCUUAUGUUCGGAAUAACUCCCCGAAAGGGGUACUAAUACCGGAUAAUGUCUUCUGACCAAAGAUUUAUCGCCUUUGGAUGGUCCCUCGUUGGAUUAGCUAGUUGGUAGGGUAAAAGCCUCCCAAGGCGACGAUCCAUAGCUUGUCUGAGAGGAUGAUCAGCCACACUGGGACUGAGAAACGGCCCAGACUCCUACGGGAGGGAGCAGUGGGGAACAGUGGACAAUGGGCGAAAGCAUGAUCCAGCAAGGACGCGUGAGUGCUGAAGGUAUUAGGGUUGUAAAGCUCUUUUACCCGGGAUGAUAAUGACAGUACCGGGAGAAUAAGCCACGGCUAACUACGUG